This is a long non-coding RNA of Brassica napus (rape), 929 nucleotides long. RefSeq lists it as uncharacterized. The record is from RefSeq and is a predicted model, not a curated record. NCBI's taxonomy places the organism in Eukaryota, Viridiplantae, Streptophyta, Magnoliopsida, Brassicales, Brassicaceae. The transcript is spliced from 2 exons.
CGAAUAAUUAUAAUGAUUCGGAUAAAAAUCUUAUAUAUUUUGAAUUACUUUGGAUAUUUCGGAUAAAACUAUCUGGAUACUUUCGAGUAGUUUUCUUCAAAUAUUUUCAUAAACUUUUAGUAUAAUUUUAAAUUUUAAAUAUAUAUAUAUUUAAUUAUGUAAUAUAUAUAUACAUAAUUUAUAUUUUAAGAUAUUCGGGUACUCGUUCGGGUUUCAGUUCAGUUUUGGUUCGGUUCAGUUGUUUCAGGUAUAGAAAUAUAAGAACCAUUCGAGUAUUGAGAGUUUUGCUCUGGUUCUUGUUUCAGGUAUUUCGAUCCGGUUCCAAUUUCGGGUAUUUCGGUUGGGUUCCGAUUGUUUUUCCCAAUCCUAUUUCAAACUUUCAUUAAGGUUGUCCAAUUGUACUCAUCAGUCUAAUCUUUCUAGAUAAACCAGAUGGUUAAUGUAGCUUAAUGAGAUUAUUACCUCCCUCUUUUUAAUUGGAAACGAAAAAAAGCACGAGGGAUUCUCCCAGUGGCCAAGGUUGCAGCUCCAAACAUGGCGUUGAAGGUACUGGACACAGCAGUGCAAGUCCAUGGAGCAGCUUGUUUAUCCUCGGACACAUUCUUGGCUCAUCUGUGGGCAACAACGGCUAGAACCCUCAGGAUUGCUGAUGGAGCUGACGAGGUUCAUCUUGGAACCAUUGGCAAAUUAGAAGUACAGAGAGCUUCAAAACUUUAACAUUAUUUUCUCAGAAAAAAGAAACAGAUGUUUUGUAUUCUACAUGCAGCAAAAUAAGCCUGAAACCUAAAUAAGUUUUAUACAAGAUCUUCUCAACUGUAUCUUGUUAAUACAAAAUGCAUUGUGAGACUCAUCUCAUGCCUCAUGGCAUCUGCUUCCUACUCUGUUAUAUCUAAAUCAAUCCUCAUUCAGUAUGAAAUAUUAGAAUCAUA